Bombus terrestris (buff-tailed bumblebee) is the source of this 1228-nucleotide long non-coding RNA. RefSeq lists it as uncharacterized. The transcript is spliced from 2 exons. Lineage: Eukaryota; Metazoa; Arthropoda; Insecta; Hymenoptera; Apidae. The record is from RefSeq and is a predicted model, not a curated record.
UCCAGACCCAGGUGUUGCAAGCCUGUGCAAUCCAAGAGAUCUAAAAUAAUGUCUGUCAGUCGCUUGGCUUUUUGGCCAGCGCCUUGGCCACCGUUUCUUCGAUCGAUAAAGGCCAAACUUCUUCUCAAAACGAGAAAAAGCUGUUUUCCUUUUUUUGUAAAUUAUUCUUCAAUUUUGUAAUUUUCCAGACGUAUCUGGCUGUGUAAUAAAUUCAUUCAUAUUUCUUUAGACGAACCUGAGAAAACGUAUCUAUGUAUUAUUUUGUUCUAUUAUCCUCUGCAAGUAGAUUAAGCGAGUUAUAAACCGCGCUCAUUUUAGCUCGCAAAGAUUUUGUCCUUUUACGAAUAGAAUUCAAUAUACGUAUUUUGGUAUUCUUUAAAUUAUUCGACGAUUAUUCGCGAACAAAAUUUCUGCAAAUAUUAGAACAAUUGAUGUUCCGAUAUUUAUAGUACAGUAAAUAUUCCGUUGUUAUAAUUUGGAACAUUGUAAACGUGCACUGUGUACCACGAAGAAGAUCCAACGAUAUGUAUACUAAAAAACAAUUCUUUUACUAAACAUUCAUAACGUUCGUCUUUCUCUCAUUACAGUUAUUAAAUGAUAUAAUUGUGCACAUUACAUAUGUUCGUAUUAUCAUAUGUUCAUAUUAUCACAUAUUCGUAGGCCGCGGCUAAAAAUAUAGAUCAGGGAGUGAACGAAUUUAUUACGCAACAUAAUUACCAUGUUAUACUUUUAUUUUCAAACGAUAUCAAUUAAAGGUUUUUGUAUUUUCAAAGAGUCAAUUUCGCAUCCAAUAAAAAAUCGAACGCCACGUUUAAAAGGAAUCAAUCUUGGCCCAGGAUGAAUAUAGAACGUGAGGAACGACCGCAAUAAAUAGCAACGAGACUGAAAAAGAAACGCACUCUGGAGGAGAUGUGGAAAUGUUAUAUAAUGUCAGGUGGAUAAACGAUCGCCGGAUGACAGAUAGAGCCGAUACCGGGCGACCAUGGGAAUCGUUCACAUAUGCAGCUAUACAAUUAAAUUCAGGACAUCACAAAGCUUAACCUGUUCCAACGCAAUUACCCUUCCCCCAAACGUCCAUUUCCUUCUUCUUAAACAGACGAAAACCAAGAUUUAAAAAAAGAAGAAAUUAAACCUAAUUAAAUCCAUUACAUCGUAUCAUCGAAAAACUCAUCCCCCGGGGGAUAUAAAAAUAGAUAAAUAUUCGGUCUUGGAACUAACACGAUAAAAA